UUUCCCCCUUAGCCCAUGGGGCAGUGGAUGUGUCCACGCGCCCCCCCCCCCAACUCCUCUCUGGCUGAUCGGGGCAACGGAUACCUGGUUUUUAAAAAUCUUUGUUUUUGGCCCAUCGGGGCUUCGGAUACCUGCUUUUAUUGUUUUUUUCCCUUGCCCAUCGGGGCCUUGGAUACCUGCUUUUAUUAUUUUUUUUUUCCUUGCCCAUCGGGGCCUCGGAUACCUGCUCUCAUUUUUUUUUUCCAUCGCCCAUCGGGGCUUCCCAUGGAUGAAAGGCGUUGGUUUCCUGGGCUGUUGCAGUAUCUGGAAUAGCUACGCAUUUUUUUGCUGCUGAUCCGUUGGUGGUGUGUGAGUGUACCCACGGCUUUGACAGGAGAAUGACUUCGCAGUUAUGCUAUGGCGCCGUUCAGGUUCUGGAGGAAACGUGGCCGCCAUUUUAGACUCGCCUCCUAAGUCGGCUUAGGAGUUGUUUGUGCUGAGUCUGAACUAGGGUGGCAAGAUGGAUGACAGAGGCAGUCAUGUGCGUCGCAGGAGCUAGACGCGUUUGAAUGAGCUAAUCUGGGGUCUGGUAGGAGCUUUGCCUGCUUUGCAUAGGGAGGCAAAGAAACAGGAUCUCAUCUAGCGGGAGCUAGGUGAAAAGGAGAGAGUUUCGAGAAGAGUUCCGCUCAGGGCUUAAAAUGGCGGUUUUGACAUUGCCGCAUUGCUCAGCAUGGCAGGCUGUGCUUUGUCCAAGAUGGCGGAUCCAGUUCUGCCGCAGUGUUCAAGUGGCGGGAAGGCCACAGCAGGCUGAGGGAGGCUUUGUUCCUGCGCAUAGCAUGCAGUGGACAUGUGCGAUCCCAUAGUAAAAGAUGGCGGCUGAAGGACUCGCCGCAGUGUACAACGUGGUGGUCCCCUUUGUCUGGGCUGCGUGCUUUCCACGUUGCCUCUCGCAGCAGGGAUGCUAUGGCAGACUUCAUUAUGUUAAUAUCAUGGCUUUUGCCACCUGGACGUCACAGCGGGUGUCCCUUUAGUCUGAUCUUGGCGGACUUGCCGCAUUGUUAAAGAUGGCGUGCUUGCCGCUUAUUGCCGCACACAGGAGACCGGGAGAAACGGUGGGACGGACGGUGUUCGAUUGCCGCAUGGCCCAUCCAAUGAGAAAUGUGGGUGGAAUUGGUCACAGUCAGUUAGAGCAGAUGGACAUUUGGUUUUCCACCUCCCUCCCAUCUCCUUAGUCCCUUCCGGUCCCGCAUUGCCUCCUGCAGUGCUGGAUGUCCCGCUGUGAAAUGUGAACCACAUCCGAUUCCUUUGUAUUGGUGCCAUGGCCUGAGGCUAGUCUUCUCCCGCCACCCAGCUAGUCUUCUCUGCACUGUGUGGAGAUGGCGGUGAGCCAUGGCGAGGACAAGAGUGGAUCACAGAUGAUCAUUGCCCAACAGGUGGGAGAAGAAUAAUUCCUGCCUUCCUCCAGAGGAACACCUACCCCGUGGCUAAUGCUGGGGUCGGAUUUUGAUUGAUAUUUAUCUUUUGGAUCUCAGUGAUAUAGUCUGAUCGUGUGAUUUGCUGCUGUUUGAAUUUAAGUCUUAAGUGACUAUUAUAGAAAUGAUACCAUUUCUCUGAGGAGGAUGUCAAAAGAUUGGCCCAGCUCAGGGUGCAGUUUACACUACUAGCUCCUUGGACUGCUGUAAGAAGAGUCUCUGGCUCUAUAAAAUACUGGAUGAAUUCAGAGGCGGUUCUGUACCACAACUCAAGAGGAACGAUGGCUUGAUUUUAGGUGGAUUGGUGCCUCUUAGACAGCAUCCAAAGGACAUUCUGAGCAUGUGAAACCUGAGAACUGCAAGCAGAUCUUCCUCCAAAGAAUAGGCUUGUUGCUUUACAGUGUUAGUGACCCAUUCCCUUUGACGAUCUCUAGGUGGAGAUGGGGCAUGAGGAUCCUCCAGGGGAAAAGCUCACUACCACUGGGCAACAACCCUAGGUCAGGAGGUGCUACCAAGAGACUUUUCUGGGCUCAGAUAGGAAGAUGAAGUCUCGAAGACAACCACCCCAUGUCAAGCUCUUGAUUGUUCCCUUCAUAUUUGCGAAAUCAUUAUCCUUCCCAAAAGCAGUGGAGAGAGUUGGUUUUUCGGCACGCACAAGAAAUUUGAACAUACCAAAGGAAGUCAGCCUUCCCACCUGAAGAUCAACAUGCCUGGCACUCUAGCACUUUAGAAUAACAGGAUGAAUGUGUACUGCUUUGCUAAUUUCUUUCUUCCUUGAGUGUCUUUGCUCUUUCUUCUCUUCUUCUCUGCCUACAGUGUCUUACCCAUUUCCAUUUUUUCUCUUGCUAAUUUCUUCUGUGUGUGCCUUUGCCCCAUUUUCUCUUAGUUCUCAUGAGUGCUCUGUGGCUUGGCUUAGAUGUAUCUCAUUUUUUCAUUUUGUUGCUCUAUGUCUUUGUUCUCCUAGAUCUCACUCUUCUUUUUCACUCUUUCUUCCUUUUGUGU
Microcebus murinus (gray mouse lemur) is the source of this 2453-nucleotide non-coding RNA. The record is from RefSeq and is a predicted model, not a curated record. Lineage: Eukaryota; Metazoa; Chordata; Mammalia; Primates; Cheirogaleidae.